This 495-nucleotide ribosomal RNA is filed under the name uncultured bacterium. Its description in RNAcentral is "partial 16S ribosomal RNA". It matches the Rfam family "Bacterial small subunit ribosomal RNA", at positions 28 to 507 of the family's 1533-position model. The record is from RNAcentral.
GACGAACGCUGGCGGCGUGCCUAAUACAUGCAAGUAGAACGCUGAAGGAGGAGCUUGCUUCUCUGGAUGAGUUGCGAACGGGUGAGUAACGCGUAGGUAACCUGCCUGGUAGCGGGGGAUAACUAUUGGAAACGAUAGCUAAUACCGCAUAACAGUAGAUAUCGCAUGAUAUCUACAUGAAAGGUGCAAUUGCAUCACUACCAGAUGGACCUGCGUUGUAUUAGCUAGUUGGUGAGGUAACGGCUCACCAAGGCGACGAUACAUAGCCGACCUGAGAGGGUGAUCGGCCACACUGGGACUGAGACACGGCCCAGACUCCUACGGGAGGCAGCAGUAGGGAAUCUUCGGCAAUGGACGGAAGUCUGACCGAGCAACGCCGCGUGAGUGAAGAAGGUUUUCGGAUCGUAAAGCUCUGUUGUAAGAGAAGAACGAGUGUGAGAGUGGAAAGUUCACACUGUGACGGUAUCUUACCAGAAAGGGACGGCUAACUACGUG